CAGUAGCCACGGUAAUACGUAGGGUGCAAGCGUUAAUCGGAAUUACUGGGCGUAAAGCGUGCGCAGGCGGUUUGUUAAGACAGAUGUGAAAUCCCCGGGCUCAACCUGGGAACUGCAUUUGUGACUGGCAAGCUAGAGUGUGGCGGAGGGGGGUGGAAUUCCGCGUGUAGCAGUGAAAUGCGUAGAUAUGCGGAGGAACACCGAUGGCGAAGGCAGCCCCCUGGGCCAACACUGACGCUCAUGCACGAAAGCGUGGGGAGCAAACAGGAUUAGAUACCCCCGUAGUCCCUGUCUCUUAUAC
RNAcentral lists this ribosomal RNA (301 nucleotides) under uncultured bacterium. RNAcentral describes it as "partial 16S ribosomal RNA". It matches the Rfam family "Bacterial small subunit ribosomal RNA", at positions 509 to 807 of the family's 1533-position model. The record is from RNAcentral.